UACGUAGGGUGCGAGCGUUAAUCGGAAUUACUGGGCGUAAAGCGUGCGCAGGCGGUCAGUCAAGUCUGAUGUGAAAGCCCCGGGCUCAACCUGGGAAUGGCAUUGGAAACUGGCUUGCUAGAGUGUGGCAGAGGGGGGUGGAAUUCCGCGUGUAGCAGUGAAAUGCGUAGAGAUGCGGAGGAACACCGAUGGCGAAGGCAGCCCCCUGGGCUAACACUGACGCUCAGGCACGAAAGCGUGGGGAGCAAACAGG
Molecule: ribosomal RNA, 253 nt
Filed under: uncultured bacterium
Lineage: Bacteria
Description: partial 16S ribosomal RNA
Rfam family: Bacterial small subunit ribosomal RNA
Source: RNAcentral